ACGGGAGGCAGCAGUAGGGAAUAUUGGUCAAUGGGGGAAACCCUGAACCAGCGACGCCGCGUGAGUGAAGAAGUAUUUCGGUAUGUAAAGCUCUAUCAGCAGGGACGAUAAUGACGGUACCUGACUAAGAAGCCCCGGCUAACUACGUGCCAGCAGCCGCGGUAAUACGUAGGGGGCAAGCGUUAUCCGGAUUUACUGGGUGUAAAGGGAGCGUAGGUGGCCAUGCAAGUCAGAUGUGAAAUCCCGGGGCUCAACCCCGGAGCUGCAUUUGAAACUGCGUAGCUAGAGUGCAGGAGAGGUAAGCGGAAUUCCUAGUGUAGCGGUGAAAUGCGUAGAUAUUAGGAGGAACACCAGUGGCGAAAGCGGCUUGCUGGACUGCAACUGACACUGAGGCUCGAAAGCGUGGGGAGCAAACAGGAUUAGAUACCCUGGUA
RNAcentral lists this ribosomal RNA (434 nucleotides) under uncultured Lachnospiraceae bacterium. RNAcentral's name for it is "bacterial SSU rRNA". It matches the Rfam family "Bacterial small subunit ribosomal RNA", at positions 341 to 792 of the family's 1533-position model. The record is from RNAcentral. Lineage: Bacteria; Bacillati; Bacillota; Clostridia; Lachnospirales; Lachnospiraceae.